CUGCAGGAUAGGUUUUGAUGUAGCCUGUGUAGUGCUGCGUUGUUGAUCACCCUGCAAAGAGUAACAUGUUUCAUUCUAUCCCUGUCUGUUUCAGUUUCAAGUCAGUCAGGGGCGCUUGGUUUCAGACAA
Molecule: small nucleolar RNA, 129 nt
Filed under: Monopterus albus (swamp eel)
Lineage: Eukaryota; Metazoa; Chordata; Actinopteri; Synbranchiformes; Synbranchidae
Description: Small nucleolar RNA SNORA63 (ENSMALG00000000988.1)
Source: RNAcentral